This is a long non-coding RNA of Apis dorsata (giant honeybee), 727 nucleotides long. RefSeq lists it as uncharacterized. Lineage: Eukaryota; Metazoa; Arthropoda; Insecta; Hymenoptera; Apidae. The record is from RefSeq and is a predicted model, not a curated record. The transcript is spliced from 2 exons.
UAAUUCAAAAAUGUAAAUUAAAAAAUUUAAUUUUCUUAAUCACUUACAUUAUUUUUUCCAUAUCAUUAACCAUCCAUCGAAAUCUUCCAUGCAACACAUCAUGCAUAUCUAUUUCAAUUUUACUUUCGAGCCGGUUGAAGAAACUGGGCCAGCUCGUAGAAAUAUACGUUUUCCAAAGUGUAUAUCUCACGAGGAAAAGGAAAUCGAUUGGAUUUCGCGAUAUUUUUUUUUGCGAAAGAAGAGGGGAUACGAAGAAGAAAUCGGUUUGCAUCGAGAAAAAGUGAAAUUUAAAAGAUUCUGUAAUUCUGUGAAAUUCCGUGAGAAUUUCCUAUCACUGUACAAACACAUGUUAAUAAUGGAAAAAUACGCGGCACGAUACCGAGAUAGGUGAAAAUCGUUCUUGAUAAUUGAUAAGGAGCAAUUUCUAUCGUCAAAAUGAUGCAGCAUACGAACACAAUAGCUUGAGCACAACGAACAACAAUACAGUUAAGUUUGCAGAGAGAAAAUCUUUUUAGAGAACGUUCACCUUGUUGUCGGUGCGUGCAACGGGCAACCCACUUUCCGUUGCGCCGUAUAUACCUUUCCAUCGAGAAAAUAAAGCGCAGCAUCUUUUCUCGAUACUUUCGUAUCGGUGUAAAAACUCUCUGUUGAAAACUCUGGCGACGGAAAGAAAAGAAUAAUUUUGACGAAGGAAAAUGAAAAGAUAAAUAUAUAUAUGUAACUUACU